CACCGUUUGCUCCUCUGGAUGUCACAGAUCACAAUCCAGAGCUUAGGAUCCAGCGGCAGGAUCGUCCAUAUCAAAUGGAUGUCACAGACACAAAACCUGCGCCUAGGUACUGGCAAGCAGAGCGUUCACAUCAAAUGGCUGUCACAGACAGAAGACCUGAGUUUAGGAGCCCACAGAGGGAGUCUUCACGUCAAACAGAACAUGUGUACGAGACAAUGUCACAGAUUUAUGAAGAUAUAUAAAAUCUGCUUUCUUUGUUAAAAGGUUAUCAAAAAAAGGAAGAAUUAUGAAAGUACAUAACCAGUGAGAGGAAGGGAAAAGACUUUUUAUCGCAAGUUUACUGUUUUUUGUUUUGUUUUUCCUGCUGUUAUGUUUCAUAGCUCAAUAAAGACAAAUACAUUUUACACAACCUAUGGACUGCCAAUAAUGUUUAUUGAUAGAUAAAUAAUUGCUUUGACAGCUAUAAUAAUAAAAAGUAUUUAAUAAAUCUUAAUUAAGUCUGACAACAAUACCCUUUUCAAAAAUCUGUCUAUUCCUUUUUAUAUAUAUUAAAAUAGUAUUGAUACUAUUAAUAUAUAAGUCAUAUAUAUUAAUAGUGAAUGUAAGUAUGGAUUCCUUAUAUUCAGUAAGCUUUUAUUUGAAAACAUUAGAGGUUUUGGUUCAGUCUCUAAAAGCAUCUAAUUGUCUCCCUCUAGUGGUUGAAAUCCACAUGACGCUCAAUAAGACACUUUUCCACACUUGACAGAAGUUUGAAAAGAUGCCAGGUGUGUGUGGGCGUGGAGAAUAGAUGUUAAUUUGUUUUUCUCAUGAAUAAGAUAAUGUUUUCAUGGACUUUAGGGAACGUCUGUUUCUUGUUGAAUGUUCAAGCUCUGGAUUUCACAGUUUUAGAUUUUGAACCGGAAAUAUUCACAGAGAAAAUUAUACAGUUUAUUACAACACGGUACUCAUUAACCAUCUCUGGCGGAGUUACAAAGAGAUUUUAUUGUAACACAGCAUUUGAAGUAAUACACUUCCUACUCACUUUUAAUUUUAUAUUUUAAAAAAAGUAUUAAAGUCAGUCAAACAGAAAAUGAUUAAUUACUUUGAUCAAGCACCUUGGUGGUUACUGGUUGUUGUGUUUAUUUAUUUAGUUAUUUAUAAUUUGCUUUUUCUGAUCCUCAAAAAAUGUUGAUAGUCUGUUAUCUGCAGUGAGUUUGAAUAUUGUUGUUUUAUUGAUUUUACAGACAAAUUCAAGUGAACACUUCUGAAAUA
This is a long non-coding RNA of Poeciliopsis prolifica (blackstripe livebearer), 1251 nucleotides long. RefSeq lists it as uncharacterized. NCBI's taxonomy places the organism in Eukaryota, Metazoa, Chordata, Actinopteri, Cyprinodontiformes, Poeciliidae. The record is from RefSeq and is a predicted model, not a curated record. The transcript is spliced from 5 exons.